This 513-nucleotide ribosomal RNA is filed under the name bacterium enrichment culture clone ALO1_GLFRUDD03FN25E. RNAcentral's name for it is "bacterial SSU rRNA". It matches the Rfam family "Bacterial small subunit ribosomal RNA", at positions 9 to 517 of the family's 1533-position model. The record is from RNAcentral.
GAGUUUGAUCCUGGCUCAGAUUGAACGCUGGCGGCAGGCCUAACACAUGCAAGUCGAGCGGAUGACGGGAGCUUGCUCCUUGAUUCAGCGGCGGACGGGUGAGUAAUGCCUAGGAAUCUGCCUGGUAGUGGGGGACAACGUUUCGAAAGGAACGCUAAUACCGCAUACGUCCUACGGGAGAAAGCAGGGGACCUUCGGGCCUUGCGCUAUCAGAUGAGCCUAGGUCGGAUUAGCUAGUUGGUUGGGUAAUGGCUCACCAAGGCGACGAUCCGUAACUGGUCUGAGAGGAUGAUCAGUCACACUGGAACUGAGACACGGUCCAGACUCCUACGGGAGGCAGCAGUGGGGAAUAUUGGACAAUGGGCGAAAGCCUGAUCCAGCCAUGCCGCGUGUGUGAAGAAGGUCUUCGGAUUGUAAAGCACUUUAAGUUGGGAGGAAGAGCAGUAAGUUAAUACCUUGCUGUUUUGACGUUACCGACAGAAUAAGCACCGGCUAACUCUGUGCCAGCCGCCG